Long non-coding RNA from Austrofundulus limnaeus, 1847 nucleotides. RefSeq lists it as uncharacterized. Lineage: Eukaryota; Metazoa; Chordata; Actinopteri; Cyprinodontiformes; Rivulidae. The transcript is spliced from 3 exons. The record is from RefSeq and is a predicted model, not a curated record.
AAGAGAGAAGCAACGUGUCUUUAUUGUCCAGGACUGAGUCCAAAACCCAUCAGACCAAUAGAUCCAGGACUGAGUCCAAACCCCCAUCAGAACAACAGGUCCAGGACUGAGUCCAAACCCCCAUCAAACCAACUGGUCCAGGACUGAGUCCAAACCCCCAUCAGACCAACAGGUCCAGGACUGAGUCCAAAACCCAUCAGACCAACAGGUCCAGGACUGAGUCCAAACCCCCAUCAGACCAACAGGUCCAGGACUGAGUCCAAAACCCAUCAGACCAACAGGUCCAGGACUGAGUCCAAACCCCCAUCAGACCAACAGGUCCAGGACUGAGUCCAAACCCCCAUCAGACCAACAGGUCCAGGACUGAGUCCAAACCCCCAUCAGACCAACAGGUCCAGGACUUUGAGUCCAGACCCCCAUCAGACCAACAGUUCCAGGACUGAGUCUAAACCCACAUCAGACCAACAGGUCCAGUACUUAGUCCAAACCCCAUCAGACCAACAGGUCCAGGACUGAGUCCAAACCCCCAUCAGACCAACAGGUCCAGGACUUUGAGUCCAGACCCCCAUCAGACCAACAGUUCCAGGACUGAGUCUAAACCCACAUCAGACCAACAGGUCCAGUACUUAGUCCAAACCCCAUCAGACCAACAGGUCCAGGACUGAGUCCAAACCCCCAUCAGACCAACAGGUCCAGGAUUGAGUCCAAACCCACAUCAGACCAACAGGUCCAAGACUGAGUCCAAACCCCAAUCAGACCAACAGAUCCAGGACUGAGUCCAAACCCCAUCAGACAACAGAUCCAGGACUGAGUCCAAACCCCAUCAGACAACAGAUCCAGGACUGAGUCCAAACCCUAUCAGACCAACAGGUUUAGGAUUGAGUCCAAACUCCAUCAGACCAACAGAUCCAGUACUGAGUCCAAACUCCAUCAGAACAACAGGUCCAGUACUGAGUCCAAACCCCCAUCAGACCAACAGGUCCAGUACUGAGUCCAAACCCGAAUCAGACCAACAGGUCCAGGACUGAGUCCAAAUCCCCAUCAGACCAACAGAUCCAGGACUGAGUCCAAACCCCCAUCAGACCAACAGGUUUAGGAUUGAGUCCAAACUCCAUCAGACCAACAGAUCCAGUACUGAGUCCAAACUCCAUCAGACCAACAGAUCCAGUACUGAGUCCAAACUCCAUCAGACCAACAGAUCCAGUACUGAGUCCAAACCCCAUCAGACCAACAGGUCCAGGACUGAGUCCAAACCCCAAUCAGACCAACAGAUCCAGGACUGAGUCCAAACCCCCAUCAGACCAACAGGUUUAGGAUUGAUUCCAAACUCCAUCAGACCAACAGAUCCAGUACUGAGUCCAAACUCCAUCAGACCAACAGAUCCAGUACUGAGUCCAAACCCCCAUCAGACCAACAGUUCCAGGACUGAGUCCAAACUCCUUCAGACCAACAGUUCCAGGACUGAGUCCAAACUCCUUCAGACCAACAGAUCUAGGACUGAGUCCAAACCCCAUCAGACCAACAGGUCCAGGACUGAGUCCAGACCCCCAUCAGACCAACAGGUCCAGUAACACAUGGAUAUGAAGAUUGUAAGACAUCCUUUUCUAAACCUUAUAAAUGUGGUAUAUUUAAAUUAUUUGAUAAAGUUUGUGUUAAAAGUCUGUCAGUGUGAGGAGAACUGGUUUUAUUUAUCAUAUAUCAGGUGGUUCUGUCUGACUUAACCCGGGUCAGGACUUGGUUCUUAGACUGAUGAAGACAUUUAGUGUUACACUGUGUUUUAAGACUUUAAACAAAGCAGGUUUUUAAAAGGGCCAAAGAAAAGCUGCAGUGUUGGAGGAACCAGGUCU